Molecule: transfer RNA, 76 nt
Filed under: Aquamicrobium lusatiense
Lineage: Bacteria; Pseudomonadati; Pseudomonadota; Alphaproteobacteria; Hyphomicrobiales; Phyllobacteriaceae
Description: tRNA-Thr
Rfam family: tRNA
About the family: Transfer RNA (tRNA) molecules are approximately 80 nucleotides in length. Their secondary structure includes four short double-helical elements and three loops (D, anti-codon, and T loops). Further hydrogen bonds mediate the characteristic L-shaped molecular structure. tRNAs have two regions of fundamental functional importance: the anti-codon, which is responsible for specific mRNA codon recognition, and the 3' end, to which the tRNAs corresponding amino acid is attached (by aminoacyl-tRNA synthetases). tRNAs cope with the degeneracy of the genetic code in two manners: having more than one tRNA (with a specific anti-codon) for a particular amino acid; and 'wobble' base-pairing, i.e. permitting non-standard base-pairing at the 3rd anti-codon position.
Source: RNAcentral
GCCGGCAUAGCUCAACUGGUAGAGCAGCGUCCCUGUAAGUCGAUGGUUGGUGGUUCGAUCCCGCCUGCCGGCUCCA